GGCCCCUUCGUCUAAGUGUUGUUGUUCGCAUCAAAAGGUGAGAAUGUGAAGAAACUUCUUGUAUAGUUAGUUUUAACUCGUAGCCUUUUUGACUCAAGUCAGUAAGUCUGAGGGGUAUUUUACACCUAAUGCUCUAAAGUCAACUAGUUUGGGAGUCAUUGGCCUAAAGCUCGUUACAAGAGUCAAUUAGAAAGCUUAAUGGGUUA
RNAcentral lists this long non-coding RNA (206 nucleotides) under Elaeis guineensis (African oil palm). RNAcentral's name for it is "long non-coding RNA (EGUI_LNC059412)". Lineage: Eukaryota; Viridiplantae; Streptophyta; Magnoliopsida; Arecales; Arecaceae. The record is from RNAcentral.